GGGUUGUGAGGUUAAGCGACUAAGCGUACACGGUGGAUGCCCUGGCAGUCAGAGGCGAUGAAGGGCGUGCUAAUCUGCGAUAAGCGCCGGUAAGGUGAUAUGAACCGUUAUAACCGGCGAUACCCGAAUGGGGAAACCCAGUGUGAUUCGUCACACUAUCAUUAACUGAAUCCAUAGGUUAAUGAGGCGAACCGGGGGAACUGAAACAUCUAAGUACCCCGAGGAAAAGAAAUCAACCGAGAUUCCCCCAGUAGCGGCGAGCGAACGGGGAGGAGCCCAGAGCCUGAAUCAGCAUGUGUGUUAGUGGAAGCGUCUGGAAAGGCGCGCGAUACAGGGUGACAGCCCCGUACACAAAAGCGCAUGUGCUGUGAGCUCGAUGAGUAGGGCGGGACACGUGGUAUCCUGUCUGAAUAUGGGGGGACCAUCCUCCAAGGCUAAAUACUCCUGACUGACCGAUAGUGAACCAGUACCGUGAGGGAAAGGCGAAAAGAACCCCGGCGAGGGGAGUGAAAAAGAACCUGAAACCGUGUACGUACAAGCAGUGGGAGCCCCACCACUAAGCCAGUGGUGAACUCCACAUCCGCAUCCUUUGCUGAGGAUACGGUUAACGGAGCGAAAGCGACGUUCAACCGCAAAACAAGCAGAGGGGGCUUAGUGGUGGGGUGACUGCGUACCUUUUGUAUAAUGGGUCAGCGACUUAUAUUCUGUAGCAAGGUUAACCGAAUAGGGGAGCCGGAGGGAAACCGAGUCUUAAUUGGGCGUUAAGUUGCAGGGUAUAGACCCGAAACCCGGUGAUCUAGCCAUGGGCAGGUUGAAGGUUGGGUAACACUAACUGGAGGACCGAACCGACUAAUGUUGAAAAAUUAGCGGAUGACCUGUGGCUGGGGGUGAAAGGCCAAUCAAACCGGGAGAUAGCUGGUUCUCCCCGAAAGCUAUUUAGGUAGCGCCUCGUGAAUUCAUCUCCGGGGGUAGAGCACUGUUUCGGCUAGGGGGCCAUCCCGGCUUACCAACCCGAUGCAAACUGCGAAUACCGGAGAAUGUUAUCACGGGAGACACACGGCGGGUGCUAACGUCCGUCGUGAAGAGGGAAACAACCCAGACCGCCAGCUAAGGUCCCAAAGUCAUGGUUAAGUGGGAAACGAUGUGGGAAGGCCCAGACAGCCAGGAUGUUGGCUUAGAAGCAGCCAUCAUUUAAAGAAAGCGUAAUAGCUCACUGGUCGAGUCGGCCUGCGCGGAAGAUGUAACGGGGCUAAACCAUGCACCGAAGCUGCGGCAGCGAACGUAUCACUUAAAGCGAUUCAGCGGGUUACGAUUGACGGAGCGAAGCGACGUCAAAGCGUAUACAAAGUCGAGUCGGUUUAAGGAUACGUUCGUUGGGUAGGGGAGCGUUCUGUAAGCCCGUGAAGGUGGCCUGUGAGGGUUGCUGGAGGUAUCAGAAGUGCGAAUGCUGACAUAAGUAACGAUAAAGCGGGUGAAAAGCCCGCUCGCCGGAAGACCAAGGGUUCCUGUCCAACGUUAAUCGGGGCAGGGUGAGUCGACCCCUAAGGCGAGGCCGAAAGGCGUAGUCGAUGGGAAACGGGUUAAUAUUCCCGUACUUGGUGUUACUGCGAAGGGGGGACGGAGAAGGCUAUGUUGGCCGGGCGACGGUUGUCCCGGUUUAAGCGUGUAGGUGUGUGUUCCAGGUAAAUCCGGUUCACUUUAACACUGAGGCGUGACGACGAGGCACUACGGUGCUGAAGCAACAAAUGCCCUGCUUCCAGGAAAAGCCUCUAAGCAUCAGGUAACACGAAAUCGUACCCCAAACCGACACAGGUGGUCAGGUAGAGAAUACCAAGGCGCUUGAGAGAACUCGGGUGAAGGAACUAGGCAAAAUGGUGCCGUAACUUCGGGAGAAGGCACGCUGACACGUAGGUGAAGUGAUUUACUCAUGGAGCUGAAGUCAGUCGAAGAUACCAGCUGGCUGCAACUGUUUAUUAAAAACACAGCACUGUGCAAACACGAAAGUGGACGUAUACGGUGUGACGCCUGCCCGGUGCCGGAAGGUUAAUUGAUGGGGUCAGCGCAAGCGAAGCUCCUGAUCGAAGCCCCGGUAAACGGCGGCCGUAACUAUAACGGUCCUAAGGUAGCGAAAUUCCUUGUCGGGUAAGUUCCGACCUGCACGAAUGGCGUAAUGAUGGCCAGGCUGUCUCCACCCGAGACUCAGUGAAAUUGAACUCGCUGUGAAGAUGCAGUGUACCCGCGGCAAGACGGAAAGACCCCGUGAACCUUUACUAUAGCUUGACACUGAACAUUGAGCCUUGAUGUGUAGGAUAGGUGGGAGGCUUUGAAGUGUGGACGCCAGUCUGCAUGGAGCCGACCUUGAAAUACCACCCUUUAAUGUUUGAUGUUCUAACGUGGACCCGUAAUCCGGGUUGCGGACAGUGUCUGGUGGGUAGUUUGACUGGGGCGGUCUCCUCCUAAAGAGUAACGGAGGAGCACGAAGGUUGGCUAAUCCUGGUCGGACAUCAGGAGGUUAGUGCAAUGGCAUAAGCCAGCUUGACUGCGAGCGUGACGGCGCGAGCAGGUGCGAAAGCAGGUCAUAGUGAUCCGGUGGUUCUGAAUGGAAGGGCCAUCGCUCAACGGAUAAAAGGUACUCCGGGGAUAACAGGCUGAUACCGCCCAAGAGUUCAUAUCGACGGCGGUGUUUGGCACCUCGAUGUCGGCUCAUCACAUCCUGGGGCUGAAGUAGGUCCCAAGGGUAUGGCUGUUCGCCAUUUAAAGUGGUACGCGAGCUGGGUUUAGAACGUCGUGAGACAGUUCGGUCCCUAUCUGCCGUGGGCGCUGGAGAACUGAGGGGGGCUGCUCCUAGUACGAGAGGACCGGAGUGGACGCAUCACUGGUGUUCGGGUUGUCAUGCCAAUGGCACUGCCCGGUAGCUAAAUGCGGAAGAGAUAAGUGCUGAAAGCAUCAGAAGUAUGUGACUGACUU
RNAcentral lists this ribosomal RNA (2967 nucleotides) under Salmonella enterica subsp. enterica serovar Typhimurium. RNAcentral describes it as "bacterial LSU rRNA". It matches the Rfam family "Bacterial large subunit ribosomal RNA". The record is from RNAcentral. Lineage: Bacteria; Pseudomonadati; Pseudomonadota; Gammaproteobacteria; Enterobacterales; Enterobacteriaceae.